CCGGCAUGUCCAGGGCA
Molecule: microRNA, 17 nt
Filed under: Homo sapiens (human)
Lineage: Eukaryota; Metazoa; Chordata; Mammalia; Primates; Hominidae
Description: hsa-miR-4304
Source: miRBase by way of RNAcentral